Molecule: ribosomal RNA, 492 nt
Filed under: uncultured bacterium
Lineage: Bacteria
Description: partial 16S ribosomal RNA
Rfam family: Bacterial small subunit ribosomal RNA
Source: RNAcentral
AGUGAACGCUGGCGGUAGGCCUAACACAUGCAAGUCGAACGGCAGCACAGUAAGAGCUUGCUCUUACGGGUUGCGAGUGGCGGACGGGUGAGGAAUACAUCGUAAUCUACUUUUUCGUGGGGGAUAACGUAGGGAAACUUACGCUAAUACCGCAUACGACCUACGGUUGAAAGCAGGGGAUCUUCGGACCUUGCGCGAUUGAAUGAGCCGAUGUCGGAUUAGCUAGUUGGCGGGGUAAAGGCCCACCAAGGCGACGAUCCGUAGCUGGUCUGAGAGGAUGAUCAGCCACACGGGAACUGAGACACGGUCCAGACUCCUACGGGAGGCAGCAGUGGGGAAUAUUGGACAAUGGGCGCAAGCCUGAUACAGCCAUACCGCGUGGGUGAAGAAGGCCUUCGGGUUGUAAAGACCUUUUGUUGGGAAAGAAAAGCAGCAGGUUAAUACCCCGCUGUUCUGACGGUACCCAAAGAAUAAGCACCGGCUAACUUCGUG